RNAcentral lists this ribosomal RNA (449 nucleotides) under Actinomyces sp. oral taxon 172. RNAcentral's name for it is "bacterial SSU rRNA". It matches the Rfam family "Bacterial small subunit ribosomal RNA", at positions 28 to 470 of the family's 1533-position model. Lineage: Bacteria; Bacillati; Actinomycetota; Actinomycetes; Actinomycetales; Actinomycetaceae. The record is from RNAcentral.
GACGAACGCUGGCGGCGUGCUUAACACAUGCAAGUCGAACGCUGAAGACCUGGCUUUUGUUGGGUUGGAUGAGUGGCGAACGGGUGAGUAACACGUGAGUAACCUGCCCUCUUCUUUGGGAUAACGCCCGGAAACGGGUGCUAAUACUGGAUAUUCACUGAUCUUCGCAUGGGGGUUGGUGGAAAGGUUUGUUCUGGUGGGGGAUGGGCUCGCGGCCUAUCAGCUUGUUGGUGGGGUGAUGGCCUACCAAGGCUUUGACGGGUAGCCGGCCUGAGAGGGUGACCGGUCACAUUGGGACUGAGAUACGGCCCAGACUCCUACGGGAGGCAGCAGUGGGGAAUAUUGCACAAUGGGCGAAAGCCUGAUGCAGCGACGCCGCGUGAGGGAUGGAGGCCUUCGGGUUGUAAACCUCUUUCGCUCAUGGUCAAGCCGCAACUGUGGGUUGUGGU